Molecule: long non-coding RNA, 1679 nt
Organism: Dreissena polymorpha
Lineage: Eukaryota; Metazoa; Mollusca; Bivalvia; Myida; Dreissenidae
Exons: 2
Source: RefSeq, a predicted model, not a curated record
GGACAUGCUAGGAGAUGUAGCCGAUAUAUUUUAAAGAAUUUCGGUAGGGUCAACAUGUUUGCCUUCACUUGAUUUUACUGUCCCAAGAAGUUGAUAUCAUUGAAAGAAAAUGUCAAACACAUUACAUUAACAAAUGUCACAAAAACGACACACUACGUUACAAGCAGCUGGAACUUGAUAGUGCUACCGGAUUAUUCGGUUAUCGGACUCAAACAUAUGAAGGUAAAUAACAAGACGGCAAAACCCUCGAGUGACCACCAUGAGUCUGAUGUCCAUGACAAUGAGUUGCGCCAAUUGAAUGAGACUAAACAAGUUGUUCGCAAAGAGAAGCAAAUUCGUCAUUCUAUCCAGAGCCAGGAAUCAGAUAUCAAGGGUAUUUUGACUGACUUUAUGAAAUCUGUUUCUGAACAAAUACUCGAACUUAAAUAUGAAUUAAAAGAACACGUAAAGAAAACGUCGGCUCAAAUGGAAGAACUUAAAGACAUCACUUGCGGCCUCAAAAAACACCAUAGUCUUUGCUGUAAUGAUAUUUCCUCAAAAAUGCAGGACGUUGCUGAAGAAUCAGAGUCAGUUAAAACCCAAAUGAGUGUACUAAAUGAAGAACUUCUCAAAAGAUGGCAAUCGUUUACCGACUCUAUCAAAACUCAGUUGUCUGCUAUUACAGAUCACAAGAAAGAAAAUCAUCAUUCAGUACUGUCACAAGCUACAAACCAAUUACCAUCCAAUAUAAACAGAGAAACAAGUCUUCGUGCAGAUCUUUCAGCAAGCACAUUUCCAUCCCCUGCUAGCAUUGAACCACGGAGAACUCUCAUCAUCGAUUUUGAAAGGAAUCAAAAAGCUCGGGUUAAAACGCAACGUUGAUAUACGCACUUGUCCUGGAAACACUCUUAACGGGAUUCAGUCGCAACUAAAUAAACUGAAUUAUACUCAGUACGAAAAAAUAGUGGUGUAUGCAGGCGGUAAUGAUGCCGCUUCCGGUUCCUCCCAAAAGACGUUGUACAACGAUGCCAAAGCUCUACUGCAGGACAUUCAAAAUAAAUCAUCAUCGUGUCAUAUCUUCAUAUGUACUGUCUGUCCGCGAGCUGACGCUGAUGUCGUUCCAUUGAAUGAUCUUUUAAAGCAGUAAAGUGAUGAAUUUAAGACGCAAAUUAUCGACUGUCAUCAAUCGUUUGUGUUCGAAAAUGGAACUACUGCCAGGAAUUUCUAUUUUCGGGAUGGUAUUCAUUGAAUAGGUCUGGAACAAGUGUUCUAAUUGCGGCGAUCCAUCGUGAAAUACCAAUCACGCGACAAGUUGCCGGAAACAGCAUAGCAACUGAUCAACGACGGUUUGACUCUCUUAGGGACGAAUGCUGCCAAAAGCAUAUUGCAAUUUGUGUGGCUUGAAUAAUCACGACACAAAUGACUGCUACCGGAAAUGGCGUCGAUCGGACAGUUACCAUAGCAACUUGUGGUCCGAGUCUAUGAGAUACGGACGAUAUCGCCGUCAGAGCACGGUCCCAGCUGAACAACGGGCUGCAUAGGACAUUCGCAUCAGGCCAUAACACAUUUCAAAUCCUGAGAGCGGUACUGUUAAUUAUAAUAAAUUUGACGUUUUAAAUAACUUAUGUAUAGAAUGUAAUAACUGUGUAUGCAAAUGUGAUUCUGACACUAUCAUUUAAAAUACGAUUGUAUCAAAUGAA